GACGAACCGUGCGAACGUUGUUCGGAUUCACUGGGCUUAAAGGGCGCGUAGGCGGUCUCGCAAGUCCGGGGUGAAAUCUUUCGGCUCAACCGGAAAAUUGCCUUGGAUACUGCGAGGCUCGAGGGAGGUAGGGGUCACGGGAACAUCCAGUGGAGCGGUGAAAUGCGUUGAUAUUGGAUGGAACGCCGGUGGCGAAAGCGCGUGACUGGACCUCUUCUGACGCUGAGGCGCGAAAGCCAGGGUAGCGAACGGG
RNAcentral lists this ribosomal RNA (253 nucleotides) under uncultured bacterium. RNAcentral's name for it is "partial 16S ribosomal RNA". It matches the Rfam family "Bacterial small subunit ribosomal RNA", at positions 524 to 776 of the family's 1533-position model. The record is from RNAcentral.